UAGCUUGCUAGAUGAUGUCGAGUGGCGGACGGGUGUAGUAAUACUUAGGAACAUGCCUUUGGGUGGGGGAUAACUAUUGGAAACGAUAGCUAAUACCGCAUAAUGUCUACGGACCAAAGGGGGCUUCGGCUCCCGCCCAGAGAGUGGCCUAAGCGAGAUUAGCUAGUUGGUGUGGUAAAGGCUCACCAAGGCGACGAUCUCUAGCUGUUCUGAGAGGAAGAUCAGCCACACUGGAACUGAGACACGGUCCAGACUCCUACGGGAGGCAGCAGUGGGGAAUAUUGCACAAUGGGGGAAACCCUGAUGCAGCCAUGCCGCGUGUGUGAAGAAGGCCUUCGGGUUGUAAAGCACUUUCAGUUGUGAGGAAAGGUUGAUGGUUAAUACCCAUUAGCUGUGACGUUAGCAACAGAAGAAGGACCGGCUAACUCCGUGCCAGCAGCCGCGGUAAUACGGAGGGUCCGAGCGUUAAUCGGAAUUACUGGGCGUAAAGCGCACGCAGGCGGUUUGUUAAGCUAGAUGUGAAAGCCCUGGGCUCAACCUGGGAAUUGCAUUUAGAACUGGCAGGCUAGAGUUUUGGAGAGGGGAGUGGAAUUCCAG
Molecule: ribosomal RNA, 597 nt
Filed under: uncultured bacterium
Lineage: Bacteria
Description: bacterial SSU rRNA
Rfam family: Bacterial small subunit ribosomal RNA
Source: RNAcentral